RNAcentral lists this ribosomal RNA (442 nucleotides) under uncultured bacterium. Its description in RNAcentral is "partial 16S ribosomal RNA". It matches the Rfam family "Bacterial small subunit ribosomal RNA", at positions 338 to 795 of the family's 1533-position model. The record is from RNAcentral.
CCUACGGGUGGCAGCAGUGGGGAAUAUUGGGCAAUGGGCGCAAGCCUGACCCAGCAACGCCGCGUGAAGGAAGAAGUCUUUCGGGUUGUAAACUUCUUUUGUCAGGGAAGAAUAGAAGACGUUACCUGACGAAUAAUCCACGGCUAACUACGUGCCAGCAGCCGCGGUAAUACGUAGGUGGCAAGCGUUUUCCGGAUUUACUGGGUGUAAAGGGCGUGUAGCCGGGUUGACAAGUCAGAUGUGAAAGCCUGCGGCUUAACCGGAGAACUGCAUUUGAAACUGUUGAUAUUGAGUACUGGAGAGGCAGACGGAAUUCCUAGUGUAGCGGUGAAAUGCGUAGAUAUUAGGAGGAACACCAGUGGCGAAGGCGGUCUGCUGGACAGCAACUGACGGUGAGGCGCGAAAGCGUGGGGAGCAAACAGGAUUAGAUACCCGGGUAGUC